AAUGAACGCUGGUGGCAGACCUAACACAUGCAAGUCGAACGAUUUAUAGAAACUUCGGUUUUUGUAAAGAGUGGCAAACGGGUGAGUAAUGCAUGGGAAUCUACCUAGAAGUUUGGGAUAACUAUUAGAAAUAGUAGCUAAUACCGGAUACACCCUGAGGGGGAAAGUUGACUUUAUGUCUUCGCUUUUAGAUGAGCCCAUGUUAAAUUAGUUAGUUGGUGGGGUAAUGGCCUACCAAGACGAUGAUUUAUAGCUGGUCUUAGAGGAUGAUCAGCCACACUGGAAUUGAGAUACGGUUCAGACUCCUACGGGGAGGGCAGCAGUGGGGGGAAUAUUGGACAAUGGGCGCAAGCCUGAUCCAGUCAUGCCACGUGAGUGAUGAAGGUCUUAGGAUUGUAAAGCACUUUUCAGUCAGGGAAAGGUUGUAGUUAAUACCUGCUAGCUGUGACGUUACUGACAGAAGAAGCACCGGCUAACUCCGUGCCAGCCGCCGCGGUAAUUCC
This 503-nucleotide ribosomal RNA is filed under the name uncultured bacterium. RNAcentral's name for it is "bacterial SSU rRNA". It matches the Rfam family "Bacterial small subunit ribosomal RNA", at positions 29 to 527 of the family's 1533-position model. The record is from RNAcentral.